Molecule: long non-coding RNA, 285 nt
Filed under: Phoenix dactylifera (date palm)
Lineage: Eukaryota; Viridiplantae; Streptophyta; Magnoliopsida; Arecales; Arecaceae
Description: long non-coding RNA (PDAC_LNC019619)
Source: RNAcentral
GUGGAGUGAUUGAUUAAAACCCCAUUUGAUUUUGAUGAGCUCAAAGCAUUUGAGUAUAUCUUUUAAUUACUAAUGAAUUCAAUUGAGUGUUUCAGUGAAAAUCCUGUCUAAGUGUCCCAAGACUUGGUUCAUAAUUGUUGGAUAAGUUAAGGAGUCUGUUUGAACCAAUGUCUGAGACUCGAGUCGACUCCAGAUGAGUACGAGUCGACUCCGACUGAGAACAGACAGAAGAACAGAAAGGAUCAACUCAGAACCUGUCAACGAGUCGACUCCUGAAGUGCGCGA